Molecule: long non-coding RNA, 453 nt
Organism: Haliotis rufescens (red abalone)
Lineage: Eukaryota; Metazoa; Mollusca; Gastropoda; Lepetellida; Haliotidae
Exons: 4
Source: RefSeq, a predicted model, not a curated record
CAUAGCCUGUACCUGGAGACCAGAAGGAGUGACAGUGACAAACACCCUCUUGUCACAAAGUCAAUAUUUCACCUGCACUCAGUCGGUUCAGGUAUUUGGACCGGCCAUCAGGAGGGUUCGAGCAGCUCUCAAUCGAGGACUCCGAGUAACAGUUUAUACAAGUAACAAAGAUAUGGCUGGCACAGACUCUGGUCUGUAUUUGCGGGUGUAUGGCCGGACUAGCAGUAGCAAUGAAAAUAAACUCUCUGGGAGCUUUGAAAAGAAUGAUGUCGAUACGACUUCUAUGAAUGUUGGAGAUAUAGGACGACUGUAUCAAAUCAGAAUUCGCUCAGAUGACGGGGGAUGGUUUUCCGGCUGGCAUCUGAAUAAGGUUGAAAUUUAUGAAGAUUCCAAAACGCUUAUAUUCAAGUGUGGGUGUUGGAUUGGGGAAAAUAAUCCAAAAGAGAGAACAGU